This 831-nucleotide ribosomal RNA is filed under the name uncultured marine archaeon. Its description in RNAcentral is "bacterial SSU rRNA". It matches the Rfam family "Archaeal small subunit ribosomal RNA", at positions 20 to 855 of the family's 1478-position model. The record is from RNAcentral.
GUACUGACUGCUAUCGGAUUGAUACUAAGCCAUGCGAGUCAUUGUAGUAAUACAAGGCAGACGGCUCAGUAACGCGUAGUCAACCUAACCUAUGGACGGGAAUAACCUCGGGAAACUGAGUAUAAUGCCCGAUAGAACAUUAUGCCUGGAAUGGUUUAUGUUCCAAAUGAUUUAUCGCCGUAGGAUGGGACUGCGGCCUAUCAGUUUGUUGGUGAGGUAAUGGCCCACCAAGACUAUUACAGGUACGGGCUCUGAGAGGAGUAGCCCGGAGAUGGGUACUGAGACACGGACCCAGGCCCUAUGGGGCGCAGCAGGCGAGAAAACUUUGCAAUGUGCGAAAGCGCGACAAGGUUAAUCCGAGUGGUUUCUGCUAAAGGAACCUUUUGUCGGUCCUAGAAACACCGAUGAAUAAGGGGUGGGCAAGUUCUGGUGUCAGCCGCCGCGGUAAAACCAGCACCUCAAGUGGUCAGGAUGAUUAUUGGGCCUAAAGCAUCCGUAGCCGGCUCUAUAAGUUUUCGGUUAAAUCUGUACGCUCAACGUACAGGCUGCCGGGAAUACUGCAGAGCUAGGGAGUGGGAGAGGUAGACGGUACUCGGUAGGAAGGGGUAAAAUCCUUUGAUCUAUUGAUGACCACCUGUGGCGAAGGCGGUCUACCAGAACACGUCCGACGGUGAGGGAUGAAAGCUGGGGGAGCAAACCGGAUUAGAUACCCGGGUAGUCCCAGCUUGUAAACUAUGCAAACUCAGUGAUGCAUUGGCUUGUGGCUAAUGCAGUGCUGCAGGGAAGCCGUUAAGUUUGCCGCCUGGGGAAGUACGUACGCCAGUAUGAAAC